Molecule: ribosomal RNA, 380 nt
Filed under: Escherichia coli
Lineage: Bacteria; Pseudomonadati; Pseudomonadota; Gammaproteobacteria; Enterobacterales; Enterobacteriaceae
Also listed under: 1 other name
Description: bacterial SSU rRNA
Rfam family: Bacterial small subunit ribosomal RNA
Source: RNAcentral
AAAUUGAAGAGUUUGAUCAUGGCUCAGAUUGAACGCUGGCGGCAGGCCUAACACAUGCAAGUCGAACGGUAACAGGAAGCAGCUUGCUGCUUCGCUGACGAGUGGCGGACGGGUGAGUAAUGUCUGGGAAACUGCCUGAUGGAGGGGGAUAACUACUGGAAACGGUAGCUAAUACCGCAUAACGUCGCAAGACCAAAGAGGGGGACCUUCGGGCCUCUUGCCAUCGGAUGUGCCCAGAUGGGAUUAGCUAGUAGGUGGGGUAACGGCUCACCUAGGCGACGAUCCCUAGCUGGUCUGAGAGGAUGACCAGCCACACUGGAACUGAGACACGGUCCAGACUCCUACGGGAGGCAGCAGUGGGGAAUAUUGCACAAUGGGCG